Molecule: transfer RNA, 74 nt
Filed under: Alosa alosa (allis shad)
Lineage: Eukaryota; Metazoa; Chordata; Actinopteri; Clupeiformes; Clupeidae
Description: tRNA-OTHER
Source: RNAcentral
GCAGUCGUGGCCUACUGGUUAGGGCUUUGGGCUUGUACAACGAGGGUUGUCGGUUCGAUCCCCGACCAGUAGUA